RNAcentral lists this transfer RNA (88 nucleotides) under Sphaerisporangium rufum. Its description in RNAcentral is "tRNA-Trp". Lineage: Bacteria; Bacillati; Actinomycetota; Actinomycetes; Streptosporangiales; Streptosporangiaceae. The record is from RNAcentral.
GGGCGCUGACGCAGGUCAUGGACCUGUCCAGCGGAUCAUGGCUCCUUACAAGCGAGGGGUCACUGGUUCGAACCCAGUAGCGCCCACC